This 72-nucleotide transfer RNA is filed under the name Ictidomys tridecemlineatus (thirteen-lined ground squirrel). RNAcentral's name for it is "Spermophilus tridecemlineatus (thirteen-lined ground squirrel) tRNA". It matches the Rfam family "tRNA". From Rfam's summary of the family: Transfer RNA (tRNA) molecules are approximately 80 nucleotides in length. Lineage: Eukaryota; Metazoa; Chordata; Mammalia; Rodentia; Sciuridae. The record is from Rfam by way of RNAcentral.
GGGGGUGUAGCUAAGAGGAAGAGCAAUUGCCUAGCACAUAUUAGGCCCUGGGUUCAAUCCCCAGAACUGCCA